GUGUACUUUGUGUCUAAUGUGAAUGAAUGUUUUGUCAAGGAUUAGCUACCUGAUCUGCUGAAAUGAGAUAAUUGAACAAGAAAAAAGAGAACAUAUUUUUACAGAAUAAAGUGCCAGAACUGUCAAGAAAAUAACUUUUGUGUCCGUUUGUCUUUAUUACUACAGGCCGACUCAGAUUAAGUCUGAGGCCGGUAACAUCAACAGUGAGGACAAACCCAGCCUGCCACUCUCCUUCCACACUGAGUAGAAACCUACAGUCACUGGGUCCUGAUUGUGACAGUGGAGCCCAGUUUGCACCGCAGGAUCCAGAGAUGGCAUCAGUGAAGCUGGAGGACUGCAGUCAAACACUGGAGCGGAAUGUCAACAUUAAAGAUGAAGAAGAAGAGGAGGAGAAGAUUAGGACAACUGUUAGUCAUUGAUACCAUGUUGAGACAUUCUCUACAUCCAGAGAGCAACAGCAGGAAGAUCACAGAGCUAAGAGGUCUCACCACUGCCCACAUUGUGGGAAGAUUUUCCCAUUUCUAUCAAAUCUAAAAAUACACCUAAGAAAACACACAGGAGAGAAACCUUAUUCCUGCUCUGACUGUGUGGCGAGUUUCUCUCAUCUGUGCACCUUAAAAAGACACCAACGUAUACACACAGGAGAGAAGCCUUACGUCUGCUCUGACUGUGGAAAACAUUUUAAAACAUCAAAUGAGCUAAAAGUUCAUCAGAGAACACACGCAUGAGAGAAGCCUGCUUACGUCUGCUCUGACUUUUGGGUGUUUUUCUCUCACCAUCGGAACUUAACACACCAAUGUAUACACACAGGGGAGAAGCCUUACUCCUGCUCUGUGGAGGGGUGGGAGUGUAAGUCAAACGUCUAACCAAAAGCUGCGUGUUUGAAUCUUAUCAAGGAGGACUUUAGCAUUAUAGCUCAUAGCAACUUUGUAACUACUUAGUACUUUUUAGCUAUGUUAGCAUGUUAGCUAAUCUUUUCUCUAAACCCAUUUAACUCUACCUUAAAACUUCUUAGGGCUGCAAUCCCGGUAACGGGAUCGAUAUGACAACAGCCAGUGGAAGUGCAGGGCGCCAAAUUCAAAAAAACAAAUCUAAUAAUUCAAAUUCCUCAGACAUACAUGUCUUAUACCAUUUAAAAGGUAAUCUUGUUGUUAAUCCCACCAAAUUGUCAGAUUUUAAAAUAUGCUUUUCAGCGAAAGCACCACAAACGAUUAUGUUAGGUCACACCAAACCACAAUAAGCACAGCCAUUUUUCCAGCCAAAGAUAGGAGUCACAAAAAGCACAAAUAGAGAUAAAAUGAAUCACUAACCUUUGAUGAUCUUCAUCAGAUGACACUCAUAAGACUUCAUGUUACACAAUACAUGUAUGUUUUGUUUGAUAAAGUUCAUAUUUAUAUAAAAAAAUCUGAGUUUACAUUGGCGCGUUACAUUCACUAGUUCCAAAAACAUCCAGUGAUUUUGCAUAGCCACAUCGAUUCAACAGAAAUACUCAUAAUAAAUGUAGAUGAUAAUACAAGUAAUACACAUGGAAUUAUAGAUAUACCUCUCCUUAAUGCAACUGCUGUGUACGAUUUAAAAAAAAUAAAAAUAAAAACUUUACGGAAAAAGCAAACCAUGCAGUAAUCUGAGACGGCGCUCAGAACAAUUGUCAAAUUAGCCGCCAUGCUGGAGUCAACAGAAACCGGAAAUUACAUGAUAAAUGUUCCCUUACCUUUGAUGAUCUUCAUCAGAAUGCACUCCAAGGAAUCCCAGGUCCACAAUAAAUGCUUGAUUUGUUCGAUAAUGUCCGUUAUUUAUGUCCAAUUAGCUACUUUUGUUAGCGCGUUUGGUAAACAAUUCCAAAGUCACGAAGCGCGUUCCCUAAAAGCUGACGAAAUGUCCAAAAGUUCCGUAACAGUCAGUAGAAACAUGUCAAACGAUGUAUUGAAUCAAUCUUUAGAAUGUUGUUAACAUAAAUCUUGAAUAACGUUCCAACCGGAGAAUUACAUUGACUUCAGAUGAGCUAUGGAUCAGAGCUCCCUCUUUUAUGUGAACGCACGCGCAUGGUCAAAGAAUGGUCAGGUCGUAGCAGACCUGACUAAUUCCUCUCUCAUUCGACCCCCCUUCAGUUCUACAGACGGUUGACAUCUAGUGGAAGCCGUAGGAAGUGAAAACUCAUUCAUAUCUCGCUGUGAUUUCAAUGGGAUCUUGGUUGAAAAUCGACCAGCCUAAUAAUUUCCACUUCCUGUUAAGAUUUUUUCUCAGGUUUUUGUCUGCCAUAUGAGUUCUGUUAUACUCACAGACAUAAUUCAAACAGUUUUAGAAACUUCAGUGUUUUCUAUCCAAUACUACUAAUAAUAUGCAUAUAUUAGAAACUAUGAUUGAGGAGCAGGCCGUUUACUCUGGGCACCUCUGUACACCUUUCAUCCAAGCUACUCAAUACUGCCCCUGCAGCCACAAGAAGUUAAACCCCUCACCCCUAACCUAGCUAAAGUUAGCAAGAACAAAUUGGAAUUCGUAACAUAUCAUACAUAUUACAAGUUCGUAACAUAUUGUAUGAAUAUCAAUGCAUAAAAUAACAUUUGAAUUGUAAUUCAUAACAUACGAUAUGUCGUCUUAUACUGAACAACAAUCUAAACGCAACAAUUUCAAAGAUUUACAGUUCGUAUAAGGAAAUCAGUCAAUUGAAAUAAAUGAGGCCCUAAUCUAUGGAUUUCACACGACUGGGCAGGGGCUCAGCCAUGGGUGCGAUUUGGGAGGGCAUAGGCCCACUUGGGAGCCAGGCCCAGGCACUCAGCAUGAGUUUUUCCCCAGAAAAGGUCUUUAUUACAGACAGGAAUACUACUCAGACCCCUCCUAGACAAUCCUGCAGGUGAAGAGGUCCUGGGCUGCCGUGGUUACAUGUGAUCUGCAGUUGUGAGGCCGGUUGGAUGUACUGCCAAAUUCUCUAAAAGGACGUUAGAGGUGACUUAUGGUAGAGAUAUAAAUAUUGAGUUCUCUGGCAACAGCUCUGGUGGACAUUCUUGCAGUCAUCAUGACAAUUACACAUUCCCUAAACUUGAGACAUCUGUGAUGUUGUGUGGCCUUUUAUUGUCCCCCAGCACAAGGUGCACCUGUGUAAUGAUAAUGCUGUUUUAUCAGCAUCUUGAUAUGCCACACCUGUCAGGUGGAUGGAUUAUCUUGACAAAGGCUGAAAUGCUCACUAACAGGGAUAUAAACAAAGUUGUGCACAACAUUACAUUUUACAUUUAAGUCAUUUAGCAGACGCUCUUAUCCAGAGCGACUUACAAAUUAACAUUUGAGAGACAUUAGCUUUUUCUGCAUAUGGAACAUUGCUGGAUUUUAUUUCAGCUCAUGAAACCAACACUUUACAUGUUUAUUUUAUUUUUUAGUGCAGUUUAUUUACUGUGAUAGUCCAAUGUAAUGUUAUCUAACAUACUAAAUGGAGUGGCAUGGAUAUUUUUUAUAUAAUAUAAUACGUUCUGCUCUGAGACCAGGUUGUCCCUCUGCAGUAUUCCGUGGGAAGGAGCUAGUAUACACUUUUUUUUUUUAUUGAACCUUUGUUUAACUAGGCAAGUCAGUUAAGAACAAAUUCUCAUUUACAAUGACGGCCUAGAUACAGUGCCUUGUUCAGAGGAUGGUGUGAUGAUCAGUUUUCACCACUAGUUUGGGGGGGAUUGUUUUACAACUUUAUUUAAUGAGACACAGUUUAUGAAAUGAAUACAUGUUUAUUAAUUGUCUUUAAAACUAGAUUAGUUAUUUUAGAUACUGAUCAUGAAUGUGUUUGGAUAACUGCAUUGAAGCAAACUUUAUUGAUCUGCCAAUGAAAAAUAAAGUUACAUGAAUAUGUA
Molecule: long non-coding RNA, 3830 nt
Organism: Salvelinus fontinalis (brook trout)
Lineage: Eukaryota; Metazoa; Chordata; Actinopteri; Salmoniformes; Salmonidae
Exons: 2
Source: RefSeq, a predicted model, not a curated record